AGCUUGCUGUCAGAACCUAACAAGUGCAAACUUCCUUGUUCGGUGUCGAAUCAUAGAGUGUCCAGGGACAAAGCUAACCUUUUUAUGACAGUUGCUGAUUGUCAUGAAAUCAGGAUAGGGAAGAGUUUUUCUUCGACAGUUGUAGGUAAUGGGAAUUGUUUGAUUGCUAGUGAGGUAGAAGAUGGUAGAUCUAUGGACAACAAUUUGAUUUCACCAACUGAUGAGCUUUUAGGAAAUAUGACUUGUUCUGAUUCUCUAGUUGAUGAGCGUGUCAGCAUGCCUAACCAAGAAUGUACAGGUUUGGAGGUUAAGGUUGGGAAAAUGCCUCCUCGGGAUGAGGAAAAGAAGGUUGGUGUAUCCCAGAUUCUGAGAAAGUCUUUUUCGUGUAGUUUGGCUAAUGAGUUGGUUAAUGAGUCACAACUUGUAAGUGAUAUUGUUUCCACCAUGGUUGUGGGUGCUGAAGAUUAUAAAAGAAAAUUAUCACCAUCCCAUCUUGAGACCUCACAAGAGAUAAAGAUAAGCAGGCCAAAUACCCUUUGUUUUGAUUCUGUACCGCUUUGGGGGCUCAUCACAAUACAAGGAAAGAGGCCGGAGAUGGAAGAUACUGCUAUAGCUUUACCAAAGUUUCUGAAAAUCCCUUCCCAUAUUUUGACUGAUGCGCCAGUUUCUCAUGCCCUGAGUCAAACACUUACAGCCCAUUUAUAUGGGGUUUAUGAUGGACAUGGAGGCUCUCAGGUAGCUAAUUAUUGUCAUGAGCGUCUCCAUAUGGUUUUAGCACAGGAGAUAGAUAUCAU
RNAcentral lists this unclassified non-coding RNA (794 nucleotides) under Hevea brasiliensis (rubber tree). Lineage: Eukaryota; Viridiplantae; Streptophyta; Magnoliopsida; Malpighiales; Euphorbiaceae. The record is from RNAcentral.